AACCCUGAGGCGUGAUGACGAUGCACUACGGUGCAGAAGUAGUUGAUGCCCUGCUUCCAGGAAAAGCCUCUAAGCUCCAGGUAACAUUAAAUCGUACCCCAAACCGACACAGGUGGUCAGGUAGAGAAUACCAAGGCGCUUGAGAGAACUCGGGUGAAGGAACUAGGCAAAAUGGUGCCGUAACUUCGGGAGAAGGCACGCUGG
Molecule: ribosomal RNA, 204 nt
Filed under: Serratia sp. Nf2
Lineage: Bacteria; Pseudomonadati; Pseudomonadota; Gammaproteobacteria; Enterobacterales; Yersiniaceae
Description: partial 23S ribosomal RNA
Rfam family: Bacterial large subunit ribosomal RNA
Source: RNAcentral